UACAGAGGGGGCAAGCGUUGUUCGGAAUUACUGGGCGUAAAGGGCGCGUAGGCGGCCGCCUAAGUCAGACGUGAAAUCCCUCGGCUCAACCGGGGAACUGCGUCUGAUACUGGGUGGCUUGAAUCCGGGAGAGGGAUGCGGAAUUCCAGGUGUAGCGGUGAAAUGCGUAGAUAUCAGGAGGAACACCGGUGGCGAAGGCGGUUCUCUGGGCAUUACCUGACGCUGAGGAGCGAAAGUGUGGGGAGCGAACAGA
RNAcentral lists this ribosomal RNA (253 nucleotides) under uncultured bacterium. Its description in RNAcentral is "partial 16S ribosomal RNA". It matches the Rfam family "Bacterial small subunit ribosomal RNA", at positions 524 to 776 of the family's 1533-position model. The record is from RNAcentral.